This 301-nucleotide ribosomal RNA is filed under the name uncultured bacterium. Its description in RNAcentral is "partial 16S ribosomal RNA". It matches the Rfam family "Bacterial small subunit ribosomal RNA", at positions 509 to 807 of the family's 1533-position model. The record is from RNAcentral.
CAGCCGCCGCGGUAAUACGAAGGGUGCAAGCGUUACUCGGAAUUACUGGGCGUAAAGCGUGCGUAGGUGGCGGUUUAAGUCCGUUGUGAAAGCCCUGGGCUCAACCUGGGAAUUGCAGUGGAUACUGGGUCACUAGAGUGUGGUAGAGGAUAGUGGAAUUUCCGGUGUAGCAGUGAAAUGCGUAGAGAUCGGAAGGAACAUCUGUGGCGAAGGCGACUAUCUGGGCCAACACUGACACUGAGGCACGAAAGCGUGGGGAGCAAACAGGAUUAGAUACCCCAGUAGUCCCUGUCUCUUAUAC